Molecule: ribosomal RNA, 458 nt
Filed under: uncultured bacterium
Lineage: Bacteria
Description: partial 16S ribosomal RNA
Rfam family: Bacterial small subunit ribosomal RNA
Source: RNAcentral
CCUACGGGAGGCAGCAGUGAGGAAUAUUGGUCAAUGGACGAGAGUCUGAACCAGCCAAGUAGCGUGAAGGAUGACUGCCCUAUGGGUUGUAAACUUCUUUUAUAUGGGAAUAAAACGUUCCACGUGUGGGAUUUUGUAUGUACCAUAUGAAUAAGGAUCGCCUAACUCCGUGCCAGCAGCCGCGGUAAUACGGAGGAUCCGAGCGUUAUCCGGAUUUAUUGGGUUUAAAGGGAGCGUAGGUGGAUUGUUAAGUCAGUUGUGAAAGUUUGCGGCUCAACCGUAAAAUUGCAGUUGAAACUGGCAGUCUUGAGUACAGUAGAGGUGGGCGGAAUUCGUGGUGUAGCGGUGAAAUGCUUAGAUAUCACGAAGAACUCCGAUUGCGAAGGCAGUUCACUGGACUGCAACUGACACUGAGGCUCGAAAGUGUGGGUAUCAAACAGGAUUAGAUACCAGUAGUC